Xiphophorus maculatus (southern platyfish) is the source of this 278-nucleotide long non-coding RNA. RefSeq lists it as uncharacterized. The transcript is spliced from 2 exons. The record is from RefSeq and is a predicted model, not a curated record. NCBI's taxonomy places the organism in Eukaryota, Metazoa, Chordata, Actinopteri, Cyprinodontiformes, Poeciliidae.
GUUAAAACAGCAAAUGGUGUAGUUGUGUGAGUGCAAUACCAUCUCCACCCAGCUGGCACGUGGCUCACAGAAAAUCAAGCACACCCGUCUCUCCCACUCAGGCCUUCAGGAGCCUAUAAAGCAACUCAGCACACCUGUGUUUGAGAUAAUCUCUACAAACAAAGACCUCAUCUUCAAGCUCCUGCAGAACACCACUGGUUUUCAACCUGCUCAGGUGUCAUGAAAGAACAGUGAUUUAAAGAAAAGAAAAGAGAAAUAAAAUAAAAAGAUGACACUGA